RNAcentral lists this ribosomal RNA (253 nucleotides) under uncultured bacterium. RNAcentral describes it as "partial 16S ribosomal RNA". It matches the Rfam family "Bacterial small subunit ribosomal RNA", at positions 527 to 779 of the family's 1533-position model. The record is from RNAcentral.
CGAAGGGGCUAGCGUUGCUCGGAAUGACUGGGCGUAAAGGGCGCGUAGGCGGAUCGUGCAGUCGGGCGUGAAAUUCCUGGGCUCAACCUGGGGACUGCGUUCGAGACGCAUGGUCUAGAGUGGGGAAGAGGGUCGUGGAAUUCCCAGUGUAGAGGUGAAAUUCGUAGAUAUUGGGAAGAACACCGGUGGCGAAGGCGGCGACCUGGUCCUUGACUGACGCUGAGGCGCGAAAGCGUGGGGAGCAAACAGGAUU